RNAcentral lists this transfer RNA (76 nucleotides) under Entomophthora muscae. RNAcentral's name for it is "tRNA-Leu". It matches the Rfam family "tRNA". Rfam says of the family: Transfer RNA (tRNA) molecules are approximately 80 nucleotides in length. Lineage: Eukaryota; Fungi; Entomophthoromycota; Entomophthoromycetes; Entomophthorales; Entomophthoraceae. The record is from RNAcentral.
UCCCCAAUGGUCCAACGGCUAGGAUUCCACGCUUAAAUUGGUCGUGGCGGCCAGGGUUCGACUCCCUGUUGGGAAG